RNAcentral lists this ribosomal RNA (292 nucleotides) under uncultured bacterium. RNAcentral's name for it is "partial 16S ribosomal RNA". It matches the Rfam family "Bacterial small subunit ribosomal RNA", at positions 505 to 796 of the family's 1533-position model. The record is from RNAcentral.
GUGCCAGCCGCCGCGGUAAUACGUAGGGGGCAAGCGUUGUCCGGAUUUAUUGGGCGUAAAGCGCUCGCAGGUGGUUCGUUGCGUCGUGCGUGAAAGACCCCGGCUCAACUGGGGAGGGUCGUGCGAUACGGGCGAACUGGAGGCCAGUAGGGGGAUGCGGAAUUCCGGGUGUAGUGGUGGAAUGCGUAGAGAUCCGGAGGAACACCAGCGGCGAAGGCGGCAUCCUGGACUGGUCCUGACACUCAGGAGCGAAAGCGUGGGGAGCGAUCCGGAUUAGAAACCCCCGUAGUCC